RNAcentral lists this unclassified non-coding RNA (284 nucleotides) under plant metagenome. Its description in RNAcentral is "partial contains small subunit ribosomal RNA, internal transcribed spacer 1, and 5.8S ribosomal RNA". The record is from RNAcentral.
UUUCCGUAGGUGAACCUGCGGAAGGAUCAUUAAAUAAUUUAGAUGACCUCCUAGAACUUGUUCUAGUUAGGUUCAUUCUUUUUUACUGUGAACUGUUUUAAUUUUCAGCGUUUGAGGAAUGUCUUUUAGUCGUAGGGAUAGACUAUUAGAAUGUUAACCGAGCUGAAGUCAGGUUUAGACCUGGUAUCCAAUUAAUUAUUUACCAAAAGAAUUCAGUAUUAUUAUUGUAACAUAAGCGUAAAAAACUUAUAAAACAACUUUUAACAACGGAUCUCUUGGUUCUC